This 256-nucleotide ribosomal RNA is filed under the name uncultured bacterium. RNAcentral's name for it is "partial 16S ribosomal RNA". It matches the Rfam family "Bacterial small subunit ribosomal RNA", at positions 524 to 776 of the family's 1533-position model. The record is from RNAcentral.
UACGUAGGGUGCGAGCGUUGUCCGGAAUUAUUGGGCGUAAAGAGCUCGUAGGCGGUGUGUCACGUCGGCCGUGAAAACCUGCAGCUUAACUGUGGGCGUGCGGUCGAUACGGGCAUCACUGGAGUUCGGCAGGGGAGACUGGAAUUCCUGGUGUAGCGGUGAAAUGCGCAGAUAUCAGGAGGAACACCGGUGGCGAAGGCGGGUCUCUGGGCCGUAACUGACGCUGGAGGAGCGGAAAGCAUGGGGAGCGAACAGG